GAAAUCAUUAACUAAUUUCUCUACAUAAAAAUAAUAAAUACAAAUGGGGGAAACAUCACUUCUGAGUUACAAGGUUAAGGAGAAAGUGAAAAAGCCUAUUUGCUACCUACUUCACAGUCAAAUGGCACUAUCUUUCAUAUGUAAAGAGUUCCUACAGAUCAACAAGAAAAGGAACCAAGAACACAUAUAAAAAUGGGCAAAGGGCAUAUUCGAGUGGCUUCCCCCUGAAAUGGGAUGCAAACGGAUCUUCCACACACAGAUUCUCAAUCUCACUUGGGUUAGGAGAAAUUCAAUGUAAAACAGUUAAGAUUUGAUACCGUAUUUCCACUAAGAGAUUGGCAAUGACCAGAAAGUUUGCAGGACUGCGAGGAAACAGAUAUGAGACAUCAGUGCGGGUACCGCAAAUUUGCGCAACCUCUGUGGGGAGCGAACAGCAGUGUCCAUAAGUAAUUAAACACAAACACAUCCUUUUGCCCCACAAAGCCAACUUCAGACAUUUAUGCAACACACACACUUACACAGGUCCGCAAGAAUAUAGUUCCAAAGAUAUUCAUUGCAGCAUUUUCUUGACAGCACAAACUUGACCAAAGCUUCAGCUGGUUGGCUAAAUACAGUAAGACCCAGAUUUAUAACACAUCCUGUACUGUGUUAUGGUCUCUCAUUAGCCCUUAAAUAAAUUGUUUACCUUGACUUCCAAACCCGUCAUACCAUAAUUUCUUUAUAUAUAUAUAUAUAUGCAAGCUCCAAAAUGAUUAAACAAGGCAAUUUUUUUGGUGAAGGUAUUUAAUGAACCAACAAGCCACCUGAUUUAAACUCAAUUUUUCCAAAAGAUUAUUUAUUUUAUGUCUAUGGGAAACGAAACUGUCUACGAAGAUGUCCAUUCAGUCUCCGUAAAAAAAAGAAUAAGCCUAGUGGACGUAUUUCUUAAAUGUACAGAUUUAUUUAUGAAUGAGUCAUAAUUUCAUAUACGUUUACAAAAAAUACCCAUUCUUUCGCUAUUCUCUUCUUUCAUGAGACAUUUAUGCUGAUAAUACGAUUGCAAGGCUUACAAACACGUCAAUGUUAUUCACAGAGUUACAAAAAGGUUGAUGCAUUUUUUUCUCCUUAUUAUAAAGCAAGUCGGUGUGCAGAAUCUGACCUCAAAGGCAAUCCUUGAUGCUUCGUUGGGGAGGAAUGUGGCUGUUGUCCAAGAACGGUACCUCUUUUUAACCCAAAUGUUCCGAGCUAGUUAACAACAGGACCCAGUCGUACUGGAGAAGGCAGACCUCAGCCCAUGAGAAUUGACUGACCUCAUCAUUUGAUGGAUGAGUGACACAUCUGUUACACCCUCUAGAAUCCAGGAUGUCGUGUCCUCCACUGUAUGCACCUGGGCCCCAGAGGGAGGCCAAUAGGUGUUGGUUGCCCGAAACAAUGAAUGCAAAUGAUAAAUAACCAGGGGUCUCGAUCCUUUCUUCAGCCUGUUUCACACGCUCAAACACAGAAAAACAACAAAUACCGAAAGAGCCCGACAAUGGUCCUCAUUGAUAUCUUGAGACUCAAGCUCUGGGAGCUUUUAGACAAGGAGAGAAGCAAGGACCCGUGAACGGAUGUGGGUGUGGGGAGGGCUGGAGGCCUCGACAGAAGGGGGACACCGCCGAUGCCCACCUGCCAAACUACGGGCGGGGCUGAUGAGCUUCAAAGAGCAAAAGACCCAGAAUGGACGGCUGACGUCUCCAUCCCAGCCCUUUCCCCACAUCCGGAGAUCCGUGCUGGCAGCCCACACAGGUGGGUAAAUAACAGCCCACCUUUGAAGUGGGAGAGACUUGCGUGGAACCUGACUUUGCCCGCAAGCAGCAGCUCCUAACACCGCUACGAGUGACAAGAUUAAGUAUUCUCAUUCUGCGGGUAACUAUCCUAAGAGCUUUUGUUAGCGCCGCUGCAAGGCAGACUGAAGACAUCCUAAUUUUUCGGCGGAGGGAACUUUAUGGAUGAGGUCCACGCCGUCUACAAUAUCAGGGCUUCUCGACUUUCUGAGGUCAACACAAAAAUGCAAGCAAAGCCCUUUCCAAGCUUCUCUAUAAAAGCACGCAUUUUUGGAAGCACUGGAGCAUGUGCAUCGCCUGAGAUGGGGAAAGGCUUCUAAACAGGGAGGAGUCGUCGCUCAUGGCAAGGAGGAAGACUGCCUUCAGUUCCUUCCAAGCUGUCGGAAAGGAUCUAAGGAGAUUCUCUGCCGAAGAGCAGUUUUACCCUGCGGUUAAACUGAGCUCUCACAUCAAAGCAGUUAUACAUUUUGGAAAGACGAUAAAAAAAAAAAAAAACAGUUCACAAAUUCAUGGCAUUCACUCACGUGGAAGAACGAAAGGGGAGUAUCUGAUAAGGAGGAGCAUCUUCUGAGGGGGAGUAUCUGGUGUGUGGGGAGGCGGAGUAUCUGAUGCAGGGGAGAAUCUGAUACAGAGGAGUAUCUGCUGAGGAGGAGUAUCUGAUACAGAGGAUAUCUGAUACAGAGAAGUAGCUGAUGAGGAGGAGUAUCUGAUGUAGGGAGUAUCUGAUACAGAGAAGUAGCUGAUGAGGAGGAGUAUCUGAUACAGAGGAGUAUCUGCUGAGGGGGAGUAUCUGAUGCAGGGAGUAUCUGAUACAGAGAAGUAGCUGAUGAGGAGGAGUAUCUGAUACAGAGGAGUAUCUGCUGAGGGGGAGUAUCUGAUGUAGGGAGUAUCUGAUACAGAGAAGUAGCUGAUGAGGAGGAGUAUCUGAUGUAGGGAGUAUCUGAUACAGAGAAGUAGCUGAUGAGGAGGAGUAUCUGAUACAGAGGAGUAUCUGCUGAGGGGGAGUAUCUGAUGCAGGGAGUAUCUGAUACAGAGAGGAGUAGCUGAUGAGGAGGAGUAUCUGAUACAGAGGAGUAUCUGCUGAGGGGGAGUAUCUGAUGCAGGGAGUAUCUGAUACAGAGAAGUAGCUGAUGAGGAGGAGUAUCUGAUACAGAGGAGUAUCUGCUGAGGGGGAGUAUCUGAUGCAGGGAGUAUCUGAUACAGAGAAGUAGCUGAUGAGGAGGAGAUAUGAG
Molecule: long non-coding RNA, 3034 nt
Filed under: Equus asinus (donkey)
Lineage: Eukaryota; Metazoa; Chordata; Mammalia; Perissodactyla; Equidae
Description: lncRNA (ENSEASG00005024359.1)
Source: RNAcentral